GCCGGAAUAGCUCAGCUGGCAGAGCAGUGCACUCGUAACGCAAAGGGCGUAGGUUCGAUUCCUAUUUCCGGCA
RNAcentral lists this transfer RNA (73 nucleotides) under Suicoccus acidiformans. It matches the Rfam family "tRNA". Rfam says of the family: Transfer RNA (tRNA) molecules are approximately 80 nucleotides in length. Their secondary structure includes four short double-helical elements and three loops (D, anti-codon, and T loops). Lineage: Bacteria; Bacillati; Bacillota; Bacilli; Lactobacillales; Aerococcaceae. The record is from Rfam by way of RNAcentral.